Molecule: ribosomal RNA, 1458 nt
Filed under: uncultured Bordetella sp.
Lineage: Bacteria; Pseudomonadati; Pseudomonadota; Betaproteobacteria; Burkholderiales; Alcaligenaceae
Description: partial 16S-23S ribosomal RNA intergenic spacer
Rfam family: Bacterial small subunit ribosomal RNA
Source: RNAcentral
CAGGUAGUAACAGAGGGUUUGAUCCCUGGCUCAGUUGAACGCUGGCGGGAUGCUUUACAUACGUCGAACGGCAGCACGGACUUCGGUCUGGUGGCGAGUGGCGAACGGAGUGAAUGUGUAUCGGAACGUGCCUAGCUGGCGGGGAUAACUACGCAGAAAGCGUAGCUAAUACCGCACGCCCUUCGGGGAAAGCGGGGGAUAUUCGGGCCUCGCACUAUUGCGGCCGAUAUCAGAUUGCUUCUUGGUGGGGUAACGGCUCACCAAGGCGACGAUCCGUAGCUGGUUUGAGGACGACCAGCCACACUGGGACUGAACUGGCCCAGACUCCUACGGGAGGCAGCAGUGGGAAUUUUUGUAAUGGGGAAACCCUGAUCCAGCCAUCCCGCGUGUGCGAUGAAGGCCUUCGGUUGUAAAGCACUUUUGGCAGGAAAGAAACGGCACGGGAUAAUACCCCGUGCAACUGACAGUACCUGCAGAAUAAGCACCGGUAACUACGUGCCAGCAGCCGCGGUAAUACGUAGAGGUGCACAAGCGUUAAUCAGAUUACUGGGCGUAAAGCGUGCAGGCGGUUCGGAAAGAAAGAUGUGAAAUUUCUGAGCUUAACUUUGGAACUGCAUUUUUAACGAGUUAGAGUGUGUCAGAGGAGGUGGAAUUCCGCGUGUAGCGAUGAAAUGCGUGGGUAUGCGAAUACCGAUGGCGAAGGCAGCCUCCUGGGAUAACACUGACGCUCAUGCACGAAAGCGUGGGGAGCAAACAGGAUUAGAUCUCCUGGUAGUCCACGCCCUAAACGAUGUCAACUAGCUGUUGGGGCCUUCGGGCCUUGGUAGCGCAACUAACGCGUGAAGUUGACCGCCUGGAAGUACGGUCGCAAGAUUAAAACUCAAAGGAAUUGACGGGGACCCACUACAAGCGGUGGAUGAUGUGGAUUAAUUCGAUGCAACGCGAAAAACCUUACCUACCCGACAUGUCUGGAAUCCCGAAGAGAUUUGGGAGUGCUCGCAAGAACCGGAACACAGGAAUUAGCAUGGCUGUCGUCAGCUCGUGUCGUUGAAUCAUUUGGGUUAAGUCCCGCAACGAGCGCAACCCUUGUCAUUAGCUGCUACGAAAGGGCACUCUAAUGAGACUGUGGUGACAAACCGGAGGAAGGUGGGGAUGACGUCCUCAUGGCCCUUAUGGGUAGAAUACCACACGUCAUACAAUGGUCGGGACCAGAGGGUCGCCAACCCGCGAGGGGAAUCCAGAAACCCGAUCGUAGUCCGGAUCGUAAUCUGCAAACUCGACUGCGUGAAGUCGGAAUCCUUAGUAAUCGCGGAUCAGCAUGUCGCGGUGAACGUUCCGGGUCUUGUACACCCGCCCGUCACACCAUGGGAGUGGUUUACCAGAAGUAGUUAGCCUAACCGUAAGGAGGGCGAUUACCACGGUAGGAUUCAUGACUGGGGUGAAGUCGUAACAAGGUAG